CCUACGGGCGGCUGCAGUAGGGAAUCUUCCACAAUGGGCGAAAGCCUGAUGGAGCAACGCCGCGUGGGUGAAGAAGGUCUUCGGAUCGUAAAACCCUGUUGUUAGAGAAGAAAGUGCGUGAGAGUAACUGUUCACGUUUCGACGGUAUCUUACCAGAAACCCACGGCUAACUACGUGCCAGCAGCCGCGGUAAUACGUAGGUGGCAAGCGUUAUCCGGAUGUAUUGGGCGUAAAGGGAGCGCAGGCGGUCUUUUAAGUCUGAUGUGAAAGCCUUGGGCUUAACCGGAGUAGUGCAUUGGAAACUGGGAGACUGGAGUGCAGAAGAGGAGAGUGGAACGCCAUGUGUAGCGGUGAAAUGCGUAGAUAUAAGGAAGAACACCAGUGGCGAAAGCGGCUCUCUGGUCUGUAACUGACGCUGAGGUUCGAAAGCGUGGGUAGCAAACAGGAUUAGAUACCCUUGUAGUC
This 465-nucleotide ribosomal RNA is filed under the name uncultured bacterium. RNAcentral describes it as "partial 16S ribosomal RNA". It matches the Rfam family "Bacterial small subunit ribosomal RNA", at positions 338 to 795 of the family's 1533-position model. The record is from RNAcentral.